Molecule: long non-coding RNA, 401 nt
Organism: Alosa alosa (allis shad)
Lineage: Eukaryota; Metazoa; Chordata; Actinopteri; Clupeiformes; Clupeidae
Exons: 4
Source: RefSeq, a predicted model, not a curated record
UAGCCUAUCACCCACUUCCUUCCAUUUGAGAGAAUGCAGCGACGCGACGGAGCCUGGUUAGAAGAAUCUCUCUGAAGUGCAGUUGAAGGAUGUUGGUGAAAGUUAAAUACCAGGCAGACCAGAUACAUUAAAAUGGUGGAAACUGAUGCCACUCUAGAGGAUUUCUUUAACCAAGUGUUCAUGAAAUUUGAUAUUGAAGCCAAACACCAAGCUGGGCUAAAAUGUAUGAUGAGUUUGGUACAGAAGAUUGACAACUAUGUGUCUGAAGAUGUGGUGAAGGAUCCAAAUUGUGGUGUAUUAAAGCUGAAGCCUGCAGAAGAUGAUGUGUUUAAAAAUCUCAGCCAUCAAAGACUACAUGACAUACAGCCGUCACAGGUACUGGACAUGACUAUAUUACUGAU